This 492-nucleotide long non-coding RNA is filed under the name Anas platyrhynchos platyrhynchos (common mallard). RNAcentral's name for it is "lncRNA (ENSAPLG00000028636.1)". Lineage: Eukaryota; Metazoa; Chordata; Aves; Anseriformes; Anatidae. The record is from RNAcentral.
AGAUGAAACCCAGUGCAGCAGCAUGACAGAAGAUACAUUGAACCAGUCAGCAGACCCAUGAAGAGAGAAACUGGACCUUUCUGUGGAAAUUUCACCAGAUGAGUGAUUUUAAACCUGACAUCAAAAAUUACAAUGCCCACAGAACCAACUGCAUGUGAAAGGACUAAAGUGAAAAUUUAGAGGUGUCCUGUUGUCCUUCAGGUACUUAAUUAUUCAGGUUCAUGUAUAUCAAAGAAACCCAUUAUCAUUAAGUCCUCUUGACAGACAAAGAACAAAAUGGCUGAUUGGUUUUACAGAGAGUACAAAAGAAAAGGAAAAGCAGUUGAAAAGAGUGAAAAUAAAAUCACAUUAUCCUUGAUGACUGCAGACAGUUUAAACGUGACAGCUGGUUCUUCGUUUGUGGACAUCUGCAGAAAGCUAACAGAAGUCAAUUUCCUGUGGAGAGCAACUUUUUGUCUGAGUGGUUGGAUUGGAAUUAACCAUUGGAUCUGA